CCUACGGGAGGCUGCAGUCGAGAAUCAUGCACAAUGGGGGAAACCCUGAUGGAGCGACGCCGCGUGGGGGAAUGAAGGUCUUCGGAUUGUAAACCCCUGUCAUGUGGGAGCAAAUUAAAAAGAUAGUACCACAAGAGGAAGAGACGGCUAACUCUGUGCCAGCAGCCGCGGUAAUACAGAGGUCUCAAGCGUUUUUCGGCAUCACUGGGCGUAAAGCGUGCGUAGGCUGUUUCGUAAGUCGUGUGUGAAAGGAGCGGGCUUAACCCGCGGACGGCACAUGAUACUGCGAGACUAGAGUAAUGGAGGGGGAUGCGGAAUUCUCGGUGUAGCAGUGAAAUGCGUAGAUAUCGAGAGGAACACUCGUGGCGAAGGCGGGUUCCUGGACAUUAACUGACGCUGAGGCACGAAGGCCAGGGGAGCGAAAGGGAUUAGAUACCCUAGUAGUC
This 446-nucleotide ribosomal RNA is filed under the name uncultured bacterium. Its description in RNAcentral is "partial 16S ribosomal RNA". It matches the Rfam family "Bacterial small subunit ribosomal RNA", at positions 338 to 795 of the family's 1533-position model. The record is from RNAcentral.